GAUGAACGCUGGCGGCGUGCCUAAUACAUGCAAGUCGAGCGAACGGACGAGAAGCUUGCUUCUCUGAUGUUAGCGGCGGACGGGUGAGUAACACGUGGAUAACCUACCUAUAAGACUGGGAUAACUUCGGGAAACCGGAGCUAAUACCGGAUGAUAUUUUGAACCGCACGGUUCAAUAGUGAAAGACGGUCUUGCUGUCACUUAUAGAUGGAUCCGCGCUGCAUUAGCUAGUUGGUAAGGUAACGGCUUACCAAGGCAACGAUGCAUAGCCGACCUGAGAGGGUGAUCGGCCACACUGGAACUGAGACACGGUCCAGACUCCUACGGGAGGCAGCAGUAGGGAAUCUUCCGCAAUGGGCGAAAGCCUGACGGAGCAACGCCGCGUGAGUGAUGAAGGUCUUCGGAUCGUAAAACUCUGUUAUUAGGGAAGAACAUAUGUGUAAGUAACUGUGCACAUCUUGACGGUACCUAAUCAGAAAGCCACGGCUAACUACGUG
Molecule: ribosomal RNA, 497 nt
Filed under: uncultured bacterium
Lineage: Bacteria
Description: partial 16S ribosomal RNA
Rfam family: Bacterial small subunit ribosomal RNA
Source: RNAcentral